This 73-nucleotide transfer RNA is filed under the name Saprospiraceae bacterium. RNAcentral describes it as "tRNA-Trp". It matches the Rfam family "tRNA". From Rfam's summary of the family: Transfer RNA (tRNA) molecules are approximately 80 nucleotides in length. Lineage: Bacteria; Pseudomonadati; Bacteroidota; Saprospiria; Saprospirales; Saprospiraceae. The record is from RNAcentral.
ACGGGCAUAGCUCAACUGGUAGAGUGGAGGUCUCCAAAACCUCAGGUUGUGGGUUCGAGCCCUACUGCCCGUG